GUUUGAUCCUGGCUCAGAUUGAACGCUGGCGGCAGGCCUAACACAUGCAAGUCGAGCGGUAGCACAGAGAGCUUGCUCUCGGGUGACGAGCGGCGGACGGGUGAGUAAUGUCUGGGAAACUGCCUGAUGGAGGGGGAUAACUACUGGAAACGGUAGCUAAUACCGCAUAACGUCGCAAGACCAAAGUGGGGGACCUUCGGGCCUCAUGCCAUCAGAUGUGCCCAGAUGGGAUUAGCUAGUAGGUGGGGUAACGGCUCACCUAGGCGACGAUCCCUAGCUGGUCUGAGAGGAUGACCAGCCACACUGGAACUGAGACACGGUCCAGACUCCUACGGGAGGCAGCAGUGGGGAAUAUUGCACAAUGGGCGCAAGCCUGAUGCAGCCAUGCCGCGUGUGUGAAGAAGGCCUUCGGGUUGUAAAGCACUUUCAGCGGGGAGGAAGGCGAUAAGGUUAAUAACCUUGUCGAUUGACGUUACCCGCAGAAGAAGCACCGGCUAACUCCGUGCCAGCAGCCGCGGUAAUACGGAGGGUGCAAGCGUUAAUCGGAAUUACUGGGCGUAAAGCGCACGCAGGCGGUCUGUCAAGUCGGAUGUGAAAUCCCCGGGCUCAACCUGGGAACUGCAUUCGAAACUGGCAGGCUAGAGUCUUGUAGAGGGGGGUAGAAUUCCAGGUGUAGCGGUGAAAUGCGUAGAGAUCUGGAGGAAUACCGGUGGCGAAGGCGGCCCCCUGGACAAAGACUGACGCUCAGGUGCGAAAGCGUGGGGAGCAAACAGGAUUAGAUACCCUGGUAGUCCACGCCGUAAACGAUGUCGAUUUGGAGGUUGUGCCCUUGAGGCGUGGCUUCCGGAGCUAACGCGUUAAAUCGACCGCCUGGGGAGUACGGCCGCAAGGUUAAAACUCAAAUGAAUUGACGGGGGCCCGCACAAGCGGUGGAGCAUGUGGUUUAAUUCGAUGCAACGCGAAGAACCUUACCUGGUCUUGACAUCCACAGAACUUUCCAGAGAUGGAUUGGUGCCUUCGGGAACUGUGAGACAGGUGCUGCAUGGCUGUCGUCAGCUCGUGUUGUGAAAUGUUGGGUUAAGUCCCGCAACGAGCGCAACCCUUAUCCUUUGUUGCCAGCGGUUAGGCCGGGAACUCAAAGGAGACUGCCAGUGAUAAACUGGAGGAAGGUGGGGAUGACGUCAAGUCAUCAUGGCCCUU
RNAcentral lists this ribosomal RNA (1200 nucleotides) under Klebsiella sp. Its description in RNAcentral is "bacterial SSU rRNA". It matches the Rfam family "Bacterial small subunit ribosomal RNA", at positions 11 to 1203 of the family's 1533-position model. Lineage: Bacteria; Pseudomonadati; Pseudomonadota; Gammaproteobacteria; Enterobacterales; Enterobacteriaceae. The record is from RNAcentral.